UACAGAGGGUGCGAGCGUUAAUCGGAGUUACUGGGCGUAAAGGGUGCGUAGGCGGUACGGUGUGAGAGAUGUGAAAGCCCCGGGCUUAACCUGGGAAGAGCAUCUUUAACUACCGAACUAGAGUACAGCAGAGGGUGGCGGAAUUUCCGGUGUAGCGGUGAAAUGCGUAGAGAUCGGAAGGAACGCCGGUGGCGAAGGUGGCCACCUGGGCUGAUACUGACGCUGAGGCACGAAAGCGUGGGGAGCGAACAGG
This 253-nucleotide ribosomal RNA is filed under the name uncultured bacterium. Its description in RNAcentral is "partial 16S ribosomal RNA". It matches the Rfam family "Bacterial small subunit ribosomal RNA", at positions 524 to 776 of the family's 1533-position model. The record is from RNAcentral.